Molecule: ribosomal RNA, 683 nt
Filed under: Escherichia coli
Lineage: Bacteria; Pseudomonadati; Pseudomonadota; Gammaproteobacteria; Enterobacterales; Enterobacteriaceae
Description: bacterial LSU rRNA
Rfam family: Bacterial large subunit ribosomal RNA
Source: RNAcentral
GGGUUGUGAGGUUAAGCGACUAAGCGUACACGGUGGAUGCCCUGGCAGUCAGAGGCGAUGAAGGACGUGCUAAUCUGCGAUAAGCGUCGGUAAGGUGAUAUGAACCGUUAUAACCGGCGAUUUCCGAAUGGGGAAACCCAGUGUGUUUCGACACACUAUCAUUAACUGAAUCCAUAGGUUAAUGAGGCGAACCGGGGGAACUGAAACAUCUAAGUACCCCGAGGAAAAGAAAUCAACCGAGAUUCCCCCAGUAGCGGCGAGCGAACGGGGAGCAGCCCAGAGCCUGAAUCAGUGUGUGUGUUAGUGGAAGCGUCUGGAAAGGCGCGCGAUACAGGGUGACAGCCCCGUACACAAAAAUGCACAUACUGUGAGCUCGAUGAGUAGGGCGGGACACGUGGUAUCCUGUCUGAAUAUGGGGGGACCAUCCUCCAAGGCUAAAUACUCCUGACUGACCGAUAGUGAACCAGUACCGUGAGGGAAAGGCGAAAAGAACCCCGGCGAGGGGAGUGAAAAAGAACCUGAAACCGUGUACGUACAAGCAGUGGGAGCACGCUUAGGCGUGUGACUGCGUACCUUUUGUAUAAUGGGUCAGCGACUUAUAUUCUGUAGCAAGGUUAACCGAAUAGGGGAGCCGAAGGGAAACCGAGUCUUAACUGGGCGUUAAGUUGCAGGGUAUAGACCCG